Molecule: non-coding RNA, 283 nt
Organism: Microcebus murinus (gray mouse lemur)
Lineage: Eukaryota; Metazoa; Chordata; Mammalia; Primates; Cheirogaleidae
Source: RefSeq, a predicted model, not a curated record
CAGCGACGUUACACGUUAUUACGUCCUUUGCAGUUGUGAGCAUAAUCUAGUCCAAAACUCAGACCAAGUGGAGCACUAUUGAACGAGGAAAGGAAUGCAUGGCUUUAGACAAAUCACCAGCAAAAGUGCCCAGUUGGAGUUGGAGAUGAGAUCGCUGAUGACUACCAUUCCAGACACAACCUACCUCAAGUGUAUCAUUUUCCUCCCAGAUGAUUCUCACAUGAAAAUUGUCGCUUUGCAUUGAGUGUGAUUAGAGUUGUUCCUUACGUUUGCUGAAGAGUCA